RNAcentral lists this ribosomal RNA (301 nucleotides) under uncultured bacterium. Its description in RNAcentral is "partial 16S ribosomal RNA". It matches the Rfam family "Bacterial small subunit ribosomal RNA", at positions 509 to 807 of the family's 1533-position model. The record is from RNAcentral.
CAGUAGCCGCGGUAAUACGUAGGUGGCAAGCGUUGUCCAGAAUUAUUGGGCGUAAAGGGCUCGCAGGCGGUUUCUUAAGUCUGAUGUGAAAGCCCCCGGCUCAACCGGGGAGGGUCAUUGGAAACUGGGAAACUUGAGUGCAGAAGAGGAGAGUGGGAUUCCACGUGUAGCGGUGAAAUGCGUAGAGAUGUGGAGGAACACCAGUGGCGAAGGCGACUCUCUGGUCUGUAACUGACGCUGAGGAGCGAAAGCGUGGGGAGCGAACCGGAUUAGAUACCCCAGUAGUCCCUGUCUCUUAUAC